GCCGGGGUGGCGGAACAGGCAGACGCACGGGACUUAAAAUCCCGCGGUAGCGAUACCGUACCGGUUCGAUUCCGGUCCCCGGCACCA
This 87-nucleotide transfer RNA is filed under the name Candidatus Atribacteria bacterium. RNAcentral describes it as "tRNA-Leu". It matches the Rfam family "tRNA". Rfam says of the family: Transfer RNA (tRNA) molecules are approximately 80 nucleotides in length. Their secondary structure includes four short double-helical elements and three loops (D, anti-codon, and T loops). Lineage: Bacteria; Pseudomonadati; Atribacterota; Atribacteria. The record is from RNAcentral.